UACAGAGGUCCCGAGCGUUGUUCGGAUUCACUGGGCGUAAAGGGUGCGUAGGUGGUGAGGUAAGUCGGAUGUGAAAUCUCGGGGCUUAACUCCGAAACUGCAUUCGAUACUGCCGUGCUUGAGGACUGGAGAGGAGACUGGAAUUUACGGUGUAGCGGUGAAAUGCGUAGAUAUCGUAAGGAAGACCAGUGGCGAAGGCGGGUCUCUGGACAGUUCCUGACGCUGAGGCACGAAGGUCAGGGGAGCAAACGGG
RNAcentral lists this ribosomal RNA (253 nucleotides) under uncultured bacterium. Its description in RNAcentral is "partial 16S ribosomal RNA". It matches the Rfam family "Bacterial small subunit ribosomal RNA", at positions 524 to 776 of the family's 1533-position model. The record is from RNAcentral.